UGAGGAAUAUUGGUCAAUGGACGUAAGUCUGAACCAGCCAAGUAGCGUGCAGGACGACGGCCCUAUGGGUUGUAAACUGCUUUUAUACGAGAAUAAUUUGAUGCACGUGUGCGUUAUUGCAUGUAUCGUAUGAAUAAGGACCGGCUAAUUCCGUGCCAGCAGCCGCGGUAAUACGGAAGGUCCAGGCGUUAUCCGGAUUUAUUGGGUUUAAAGGGAGUGUAGGCGGUUUGUUAAGCGUGUUGUGAAAUUUAGGUGCUCAACAUUUAACUUGCAGCGCGAACUGUCAGACUUGAGUACACGCAACGUAUGCGGAAUUCAUGGUGUAGCGGUGAAAUGCUUAGAUAUCAUGAAGAACUCCGAUUGCGAAGGCAGCAUACGGGAGUGUAACUGACGCUUAAGCUCGAAGGUGCGGGUAUCGAACAGGAUUAGAUACCCUGGUAGUCCGCACAGUAAACGAUGGAUGCCCGCUGUUAGCGCCUGGCGUUAGCGGCUAAGCGAAAGCAUUAAGCAUCCCACCUGGGGAGUACGCCGGCAACGGUG
Molecule: ribosomal RNA, 540 nt
Filed under: uncultured bacterium
Lineage: Bacteria
Description: bacterial SSU rRNA
Rfam family: Bacterial small subunit ribosomal RNA
Source: RNAcentral